GGCUGGUCCCAGUGCAGUAGUGUUUACAACUAAUUGAUACAAGAAGUUACAAAUUUCUUUGUUGCUUCUUCAUUCCCACUGCUUCACUUGGCUAGCCUUAA
This is an unclassified non-coding RNA of Pan paniscus (pygmy chimpanzee), 101 nucleotides long. It matches the Rfam family "Y RNA". Rfam says of the family: Y RNAs are components of the Ro ribonucleoprotein particle (Ro RNP), in association with Ro60 and La proteins. The Y RNAs and Ro60 and La proteins are well conserved, but the function of the Ro RNP is not known. NCBI's taxonomy places the organism in Eukaryota, Metazoa, Chordata, Mammalia, Primates, Hominidae. The record is from Ensembl.